This 256-nucleotide ribosomal RNA is filed under the name uncultured bacterium. RNAcentral's name for it is "partial 16S ribosomal RNA". It matches the Rfam family "Bacterial small subunit ribosomal RNA", at positions 524 to 776 of the family's 1533-position model. The record is from RNAcentral.
UACGUAGGGUGCGAGCGUUGUCCGGAAUUAUUGGGCGUAAAGAGCUCGUAGGCGGUGUGUCACGUCGGCCGUGAAAAACCUGCAGCUUAACUGUGGGCGUGCGGUCGAUACGGGCAUCACUGGAGUUCGGCAGGGGAGACUGGAAUUCCUGGUGUAGCGGUGAAAUGCGCAGAUAUCAGGAGGAACACCGGUGGCGAAGGCGGGUCUCUGGGCCGAUACUGACGCUGAGGAGCGAAAGCGUGGGGGAGCAAACAGG